UGGGGAAUAUUGCACAAUGGGGGAAACCCUGAUGCAGCGACGCCGCGUGGAGGAAGAAGGUCUUCGGAUUGUAAACUCCUGUUGUUGAGGAAGAUAAUGACGGUACUCAACAAGGAAGUGACGGCUAACUACGUGCCAGCAGCCGCGGUAAAACGUAGGUCACAAGCGUUGUCCGGAAUUACUGGGUGUAAAGGGAGCGCAGGCGGGAAGGCAAGUUGGAAGUGAAAUCCAUGGGCUCAACCCAUGAACUGCUUUCAAAACUGUUUUUCUUGAGUAGUGCAGAGGUAGGCGGAAUUCCCGGUGUAGCGGUGGAAUGCGUAGAUAUCGGGAGGAACACCAGUGGCGAAGGCGGCCUACUGGGCACCAACUGACGCUGAGGCUCGAAAGUGUGGGUAGCAAACAGGAUUAGAUACCCUGGUAGUCCACACUGUAAACGAUGAUUACUAGGUGUUGGAGGAUUGACCCCUUCAGUGCCGCAGUUAACACAAUAAGUAAUCCACCUGGGGAGUACGACCGCAAGGUUGAAACUCAAAGGAAUUGACGGGGGCCCGCACAAGCAGUGGAGUAUGUGGUUUAAUUCGACGCAACGCGAAGAACCUUACCAAGUCUUGACAUCCUGCGACGAUGCUGGAAACAGUAUUUUCCUUCGGGACGCAGAGACAGGUGGUGCAUGGUUGUCGUCAGCUCGUGUCGUGAGAUGUUGGGUUAAGUCCCGCAACGAGCGCAACCCUUAUGGUCAGUUACUACGCAAGAGGACUCUGGCCAGACUGCCGUUGACAAAACGGAGGAAGGUGGGGAUGACGUCAAAUCAUCAUGCCCUUUAUGACUUGGGCUACACACGUACUACAAUGGCGUUAAACAAAGAGAAGCAAGACCGCGAGGUGGAGCAAAACUCAGAAACAACGUCCCAGUUCGGACUGCAGGCUGCAACUCGCCUGCACGAAGUCGGAAUUGCUAGUAAUCGCAGAUCAGCAUGCUGCGGUGAAUACGUUCCC
Molecule: ribosomal RNA, 995 nt
Filed under: uncultured bacterium
Lineage: Bacteria
Description: bacterial SSU rRNA
Rfam family: Bacterial small subunit ribosomal RNA
Source: RNAcentral